This 856-nucleotide ribosomal RNA is filed under the name uncultured bacterium. Its description in RNAcentral is "bacterial SSU rRNA". It matches the Rfam family "Bacterial small subunit ribosomal RNA", at positions 60 to 914 of the family's 1533-position model. The record is from RNAcentral.
AGUCGAACGGCAGCGCGGGGCAACCUGGUGGCGAGUGGCGAACGGGUGAGUAAUAUAUCGGAACGUACCCAAGAGUGGGGGAUAACGUAGCGAAAGUUACGCUAAUACCGCAUACGAUCUAUGGAUGAAAGUGGGGGAUCGCAAGACCUCAUGCUCCUGGAGCGGCCGAUAUCUGAUUAGCUAGUUGGUGAGGUAAAGGCUCACCAAGGCGACGAUCAGUAGCUGGUCUGAGAGGACGACCAGCCACACUGGAACUGAGACACGGUCCAGACUCCUACGGGAGGCAGCAGUGGGGAAUUUUGGACAAUGGGCGCAAGCCUGAUCCAGCAAUGCCGCGUGAGUGAAGAAGGCCUUCGGGUUGUAAAGCUCUUUUGUCAGGGAAGAAACGGCUGGGGAUAAUACCCUCGGCUAAUGACGGUACCUGAAGAAUAAGCACCGGCUAACUACGUGCCAGCAGCCGCGGUAAUACGUAGGGUGCAAGCGUUAAUCGGAAUUACUGGGCGUAAAGCGUGCGCAGGCGGUUUUGUAAGUCUGUCGUGAAAGCCCCGGGCUCAACCUGGGAAUUGCGAUGGAGACUGCAAGGCUUGAAUCUGGCAGAGGGGGGUAGAAUUCCACGUGUAGCAGUGAAAUGCGUAGAGAUGUGGAGGAACACCGAUGGCGAAGGCAGCCCCCUGGGUCAAGAUUGACGCUCAUGCACGAAAGCGUGGGGAGCAAACAGGAUUAGAUACCCUGGUAGUCCACGCCCUAAACGAUGUCUACUAGUUGUCGGGUCUUAAUUGACUUGGUAACGCAGCUAACGCGUGAAGUAGACCGCCUGGGGAGUACGGUCGCAAGAUUAAAACUCAAAGGAAUUGAC